Caenorhabditis elegans is the source of this 197-nucleotide non-coding RNA. The record is from Ensembl. Lineage: Eukaryota; Metazoa; Nematoda; Chromadorea; Rhabditida; Rhabditidae.
GAGAGCCAGCCGUGUGCAAAUCGUCAGAUAUACAACCUCCAGAAAAGUUUCGGUCGGUCGAGAAAGAGGCAAGAGAGGCGAGCAAAAUGUUACAAUGUUUGGUGGGGUGGCUGGGGGCCUCUUGCGCUCGGCCGGCCUAUCUCGCCGAGAAGAAGCACAAGAUGAGUCAUUGCGACGAACAGCUGCCCACUGUGCUG